GAGUUUGAUCAUGGCUCAGGAUGAACGCUAGCUACAGGCUUAACACAUGCAAGUCGAGGGGAAACGGCGUUGAGUGCUUGCACUCUUCGGACGUCGACCGGCGCACGGGUGAGUAACGCGUAUCCAACCUUCCCAUAACUAAGGGAUAACCUGCCGAAAGGCAGACUAAUACCUUAUGUAAUUCUUGGAUGACAUCAGAAGAGAAUGAAAGAUUUAUCGGUUAUGGAUGGGGAUGCGUCUGAUUAGCUUGUUGGCGGGGUAACGGCCCACCAAGGCGACGAUCAGUAGGGGUUCUGAGAGGAAGGUCCCCCACAUUGGAACUGAGACACGGUCCAAACUCCUACGGGAGGCAGCAGUGAGGAAUAUUGGUCAAUGGGCGAGAGCCUGAACCAGCCAAGUAGCGUGCAGGAAGACGGCCCUAUGGGUUGUAAACUGCUUUUGUAUGGGGAUAAAGUCAAUCACGUGUGAUUGUUUGCAGGUACCAUACGAAUAAGGACCGGCUAAUUCCGUGCCAGCAGCCGCGGUAAUACGGAAGGUCCGGGCGUUAUCCGGAUUUAUUGGGUUUAAAGGGAGCGUAGGCCGGAGAUUAAGUGUGUUGUGAAAUGUAGACGCUCAACGUCUGACUUGCAGCGCAUACUGGUUUCCUUGAGUACGCACAACGUUGGCGGAAUUCGUCGUGUAGCGGUGAAAUGCUUAGAUAUGACGAAGAACUCCGAUUGCGAAGGCAGCUGACGGGAGCGCCACUGACGCUUAAGCUCGAAGGUGCGGGUAUCGAACAGGAUUAGAUACCCUGGUAGUCCGCACAGUAAACGAUGGAUGCCCGCUGUUGGUACCUAGUAUCAGCGGCUAAGCGAAAGCAUAANGCAUCCCACCUGGGGAGUACGCCCGCNACGGUGAAACUCAAGGAAUUGAGGGGGGCCCGCACACGCGGAGGAACAUUUGCCUAAUCCCCUGAUACGCGCGGCACCUACCCCGGGCGCGAUCUGCAGAGGAAGGAUUUAGAGAUACUGACGCCCUUCGGGGUCUCUGUGAAGGUGCCGCAUGGCCGUCCUCAGGUCGUGCCAUGAGGUGUCGGUUUAAGUGCCAUAACGAGCCCAACCCCUCUCUUCAGUUGCCAUCAGGUGAUGCUGGGCACUCUGGAGACACUGCCACCGUAAGGUGUGAGGAAGGUGGGGAUGACGUCAAAUCAGCACGGCCCUUACGUCCGGGGCUACACACGUGUUACAAUGGCCGGUACAGAGGGACGGUGUAAUGCAAAUUGCAUCCAAUCUUGAAAGCCGGUCCCAGUUCGGACUGGGGUCUGCAACCCGACCCCACGAAGCUGGAUUCGCUAGUAAUCGCGCAUCAGCCAUGGCGCGGUGAAUACGUUCCCGGGCCUUGUACACACCGCCCGUC
This 1395-nucleotide ribosomal RNA is filed under the name uncultured bacterium. Its description in RNAcentral is "16S ribosomal RNA". It matches the Rfam family "Bacterial small subunit ribosomal RNA". The record is from RNAcentral.